GACGAACGCUGGCGGCGUGCCUAAUACAUGCAAGUAGAACGCUGAAGGAGGAGCUUGCUUCUCUGGAUGAGUUGCGAACGGGUGAGUAACGCGUAGGUAACCUGCCUGGUAGCGGGGGAUAACUAUUGGAAACGAUAGCUAAUACCGCAUAAGAGUAGAUGUUGCAUGACAUUUGCUUAAAAGGUGCAAUUGCAUCACUACCAGAUGGACCUGCGUUGUAUUAGCUAGUUGGUGGGGUAACGGCUCACCAAGGCGACGAUACAUAGCCGACCUGGGAGGGUGAUCGACCAAACUGGGAUUGGGACACGGCCCAGACUCCUACGGGAGGCAGCAGUAGGGAAUCUUCGGCAAUGGACGGAAGUCUGACCGAGCAACGCCGCGUGAGUGAAGAAGGUUUUCGGAUCGUAAAGCUCUGUUGUAAGAGAAGAACGAGUGUGAGGGUGGAAAGUUCACACUGUGACGGUAUCUUACCAGAAAGGGACGGCUAACUACGUG
This 495-nucleotide ribosomal RNA is filed under the name uncultured bacterium. RNAcentral's name for it is "partial 16S ribosomal RNA". It matches the Rfam family "Bacterial small subunit ribosomal RNA", at positions 28 to 507 of the family's 1533-position model. The record is from RNAcentral.